RNAcentral lists this ribosomal RNA (253 nucleotides) under uncultured bacterium. RNAcentral describes it as "partial 16S ribosomal RNA". It matches the Rfam family "Bacterial small subunit ribosomal RNA", at positions 524 to 776 of the family's 1533-position model. The record is from RNAcentral.
UACGUAGGGUGCAAGCGUUAAUCGGAAUUACUGGGCGUAAAGCGUGCGCAGGCGGUUUUGUAAGUCUGACGUGAAAUCCCCGGGCUCAACCUGGGAACUGCAUUUGUGACUGCAAGGCUAGAGUACGGCAGAGGGGGAUGGAAUUCCGCGUGUAGCAGUGAAAUGCGUAGAUAUGCGGAGGAACACCAAUGGCGAAGGCAAUCCCCUGGGCCUGUACUGACGCUCAUGCACGAAAGCGUGGGGAGCAAACAGG